Molecule: non-coding RNA, 73 nt
Organism: Podarcis lilfordi (Lilford's wall lizard)
Lineage: Eukaryota; Metazoa; Chordata; Lepidosauria; Squamata; Lacertidae
Source: the annotation of a GenBank genome assembly
UCCUGGAUAGCUCAGUCAGUAGAGCAUGGAACUCUUCAUCUCAGAGUUGUGGUUUCAAGCCCCAGGUUGGGCA